UAAGCAUAUCAAUAAGCCGAGGAAAAGAAACCAACAGGGAUUGCCCUAGUAACGGCGAGUGAAGCGGCAACAGCUCAUUUGAAAUCUGGCUCUCGGGCCCGAGUUGUAAUUUGUAGUUGGAUGCUUUUGAUGCGGUGCACUUCCGAGUUCCCUGGAACGGGACGCCAUAGAGGGUGAGAGCCCCGUCUGGUUGGAUGCCAAAUCGCUGUAAAGCUCCUUCGACGAGUCGAGUAGUUUGGGAAUGCUGCUCUAAAUGGGAGGUAUAUGUCUUCUAAAGCUAAAUACCGGCCAGAGACCGAUAGCGCACAAGUAGAGUGAUCGAAAGAUGAAAAGCACUUUGAAAAGAGAGUUAAAAAGUACGUGAAAUUGUUGAAAGGGAAGCGUUUAUGACCAGACUUGGGCUUGGUUAAUCAUCUGGGGUUCUCCCCAGUGCACUUUUCCAGUCCAGGCCAGCAUCAGUUUUCGCCGGGGGAUAAAGGCUUCGGGAAUGUGGCUCUCUCCGGGGAGUGUUAUAGCCCGUUGCGUAAUACCCUGGCGGGGACUGAGGUUCGCGCAUCUGCAAGGAUGCUGGCGUAAUGGUCAUCAACGACCCGUCUUGAAACACGGACCAAGGAGUCGUCUUCGUAUGCGAGUGUUCGGGUGUCAAACCCCUACGCGUAAUGAAAGUGAACGCAGGUGAGAGCUUCGGCGCAUCAUCGACCGAUCCUGAUGUUCUCGGAUGGAUUUGAGUAAGAGCAUACGGGGCCGGACCCGAAAGAAGGUAAACUAUGCCAGUGUAGGGUGAAGCCAGAGGAACUCUGGUGGAGGCUCGCAGCGGUUCUGACGUGCAAAUCGAUCGUCAAUUCAUGGGCAUGGAGCGCGAAAAGACUAAUCGAACCUUCUAGUAGCUGGUUCCGCCAAG
Molecule: ribosomal RNA, 901 nt
Filed under: Fusarium equiseti
Lineage: Eukaryota; Fungi; Ascomycota; Sordariomycetes; Hypocreales; Nectriaceae
Description: partial large subunit ribosomal RNA
Rfam family: Eukaryotic large subunit ribosomal RNA
Source: RNAcentral